This 2022-nucleotide long non-coding RNA is filed under the name Homo sapiens (human). RNAcentral's name for it is "non-protein coding SLC25A25-AS1:11". The record is from RNAcentral. Lineage: Eukaryota; Metazoa; Chordata; Mammalia; Primates; Hominidae.
UGACCCUUUAUGUGAAGCAGAACAGCCGCUUCCGCAGUGAGCUGUCAGAAGGCGUCGUGCCUGUCUUGCUAGUGGGGAAACUGAGGCUCAGAGAGGCAGAAGACUUGCCCAAGAUCACACCACCGGGACCCAGGAUUCAAGCGCAGGCCUGCCCAGGCUCUCUGUGGCCUCCUGGCUGCGAGGAGGCAGCCAGGGACCAGGUGCCACCCUUCUGAGACACCUGAGAUCCCAGGCCCGAGAGGAUGAAGGCGGGAUUACCUGGAGCGUGUCUGAAUGCUGGAGGAAGAAGGGCAGCUGGGAGAUGAAGCUGUCAGGAUGGGCCGCAUCCCAUUUCCUGCCUCGUUUCAGUUCAACUUUCCAACAGACCUCCCUGGCUCGUCUUGCUCUUCUCUAAUGGACAAACAAACAGGCUCAGAGAGGUGGUGUGACUUGCCCAAGGUCACUCAGCUUGGAUGCUAUGGAACAGGGACGUCCACUGUCCCAGUCUGUUUAUGGGAAGCCGCUCUGCAACUGUCCUGACCCACCACAUGCCCCACCGCUGUUUCUCUUGCCCUGACCCCUUGUUCCCUGGACCAGGGUGGCACAGCUCCAGGCUCUUGGGCCCUUCCCGAGGGCAGGCACCUGUGACUGUGUCCCCAAAGACCUGAGUGGCUGAGGGGGCCCCACAGAGCUUGGACUUCCUGGAGGACAAGGAGGGGUCUGCCAGCCACCCCCACCACGCCCGCCCCAGGGCUCCCCUGGAGCUUCCAUGCCAGCCGGACUCAGGUGGGUCUGGAGGAGCACCGUGCCUCCAAUCAGACCUUGAGAUGUGCCCCCUGCCCCCACUGUGCCCUCCCCUGCCCAGGAGUCUGGUUGCAAACCCUGAUUAAGGGGAUUUUAUCUCCACCAGAGGGCCAGUAGGUGGGAAGUAGCUUAAACAAUGCAGGUUUAUAAUCUCACAGUUCUGGAGGUCAAGAGUCUGAAAUGGGCCUCAUGGGGCUAAAACCAAGGUGUCUGCAGGGCUGUGUUCCUUCUGGAGGCUCCAGGGCAGGAAGGGGAGGAUCCACUUCUGUGCCUUUCCAGCUUCUAGAGGCUGCCUGCGUUCCUUGGCUCGUGGCCCCUUCCUCCACCUUCAAGCCAGCAGCGGAGGCCUGAGUCCUUCUCAUGCCAUCUCUCUGUUCUCUCUCCUGCCUCCUCCUCCACACUGAAGGACCCCUGUGAUCACACUGGCCCCCCCACCGGAUGACCCAGGAUAAUCCAUCUCCCUGUUUGAAGGUCGGCUGAUUAGCAACCUUCAUUCCAUCUGCCUCCUUCAUUCCCCCUGGCCAUGUAAUGGGAUUCACAGCUUCUGGGGAUUAGGACAUGGACAUCUUGUGGCGGGGGCAUAAUUCUGUCGACGACACCAAGAAACACUUGGAUGUUAAGGAUUCACCGAACACUGUUCAGGCUCCAGGUGCUGGGAGCAGCAGUGAACAAAGCCAACAGACACUGCCACCCUCAAGGAGUUCACGUUCAUGGGCGAGGGAACAGAUGAGAAACCCGGCAAUGAAAGUAAGUAGCAUAAUUGACUUGAAAAGUGCCGGGGAGAAAGAGAAGAUGGAUGGAGAAUGACACCUGGCCCCUUCUCUAUUUCUUUAUUUGUUUCACUCUUGUUGCCCAGGCUGGAGUGCAAUGGCACAAUCUCAGCUCACUGCGACCUCUGCCUCCCAGCUUCAAGUGAUUCUGCUGCCUCAGCCUCCCAAGUAGCUUGGAUUACAGGCAUGCACGCCCAGCUCAUUUUUUUUUUUUUUUUUUUUAGUAGAGACGGGGUUUACACCAUGUUGGCCAGGCUGGUCUCAAACUCGUGACCUCAGGUGAUCCACCUGCAUCGGCCUCCCAAAGUGCUGGGAUUACAGGCAUGAGCCACCGUGCCCAGCUCCCCUUCUCUAUUUCUAAGGUGACCCAGAUUCCUUUACUGCUUUCUGGCAAAUCCACCUCUGGCCAGGCAGUAGGCCGGCAACGCAGGGCUUGAAGGCCAUAAUGGGGACGUUUGUCUAAUGGUGA